UAGGAUACAGAUUGCCCCCUUGGGUACCGAUGUCGGAAUAACUUUUGUCGAGAUACCGGUGGCUCUGGAAGGUGUCGUUUUGACUCUGAUUGUCCAUUUGGUGAAGUAUGUAUUAAUAGACGAUGUCAAAGACAAGAACAAG
Molecule: long non-coding RNA, 142 nt
Organism: Saccostrea echinata
Lineage: Eukaryota; Metazoa; Mollusca; Bivalvia; Ostreida; Ostreidae
Exons: 3
Source: RefSeq, a predicted model, not a curated record